CCUACGGGAGGCAGCAGUGGGGAAUAUUGCACAAUGGGGGAAACCCUGAUGCAGCGACGCCGCGUGAGUGAAGAAGUAAUUCGUUAUGUAAAGCUCUAUCAGCAGGGAAGACAAUGACGGUACCUGAGUAAGAAGCCCCGGCUAACUACGUACCAGCAGCCGAGGGAAUACGUAGGGGGCAAGCGUUGUCCGGAUUUACUGGGUGUAAAGGGCGGGUAGCCGGGUUUACAAUGCAGAUUUGAAAUCCUGCGGCUUAACCGCAGAACUGCAUUUGAAACUGUUGAUCGUGAGUACUGGAGAGGCCGACGGCAUUCCUAGUGGAGCGGUGUAAUGCGUAGAUAUUAGGAGGAACCCCGGCGGCGAAGGCGGCCUGCUGGACCGUACCUGACGUUUGGGCUCGAAAGCGUGGGGAGCAAACAGGAUUAGAUACCCUUGUAGUC
This 440-nucleotide ribosomal RNA is filed under the name uncultured bacterium. RNAcentral's name for it is "partial 16S ribosomal RNA". It matches the Rfam family "Bacterial small subunit ribosomal RNA", at positions 338 to 795 of the family's 1533-position model. The record is from RNAcentral.